Molecule: transfer RNA, 76 nt
Filed under: Planctomycetota bacterium
Lineage: Bacteria; Pseudomonadati; Planctomycetota
Description: tRNA-Asn
Rfam family: tRNA
About the family: Transfer RNA (tRNA) molecules are approximately 80 nucleotides in length. Their secondary structure includes four short double-helical elements and three loops (D, anti-codon, and T loops).
Source: RNAcentral
UCCCCGAUAGCUCAGUCGGUAGAGCAAGUGACUGUUAAUCACUGGGUCGUAGGUUCAAGUCCUACUCGGGGAGCCA